CGAGCGCGAAGGGCUCGCGGCGCUCGCGCUGAUGCCGCUUGCGGGGCUCGUCGCGGUCGAGCCGCUGGGGUUCCAGUUCCUGCCGCUCGU
RNAcentral lists this transfer RNA (90 nucleotides) under Burkholderia pseudomallei. Its description in RNAcentral is "tRNA-Gly(gcc)". The record is from RNAcentral. Lineage: Bacteria; Pseudomonadati; Pseudomonadota; Betaproteobacteria; Burkholderiales; Burkholderiaceae.